CCUGGUAGCUGAGACAGUAAAGCAUCUGCCUACAAUGCAGGAGACCCGGGUUCAAUCCCUGGGUCAGGA
Molecule: transfer RNA, 69 nt
Filed under: Bos taurus (domestic cattle)
Lineage: Eukaryota; Metazoa; Chordata; Mammalia; Artiodactyla; Bovidae
Also listed under: 1 other name
Rfam family: tRNA
About the family: Transfer RNA (tRNA) molecules are approximately 80 nucleotides in length.
Source: Rfam by way of RNAcentral